RNAcentral lists this long non-coding RNA (349 nucleotides) under Trifolium pratense (red clover). Its description in RNAcentral is "long non-coding RNA (TPRA_LNC010499)". Lineage: Eukaryota; Viridiplantae; Streptophyta; Magnoliopsida; Fabales; Fabaceae. The record is from RNAcentral.
UUCGCUAUGUUUUAUUUUUUUUUAAAUCCUGCCGUGUACAAUGGAACAACUUGUCCGUAUAAUUUUGUUUUGCUUGGGAUGUAUGAACAUGGAUUUAUAUUGAAUGCGGUUUCCAUUUAAUUUGUUUUUUUAUUGGAUUUGGAUUGGAAUGUAUGAAUUUCAUUUGAAAUACGAUUAUAUCCGAACAGGUGAUUUCGCGUGGAUAUGAUCCCACGGGUGAUACAUAGUUUAAAGUCAUUUGUUGUGAAAAGAUAUAUUUCGGUAAAACUUUGCCGAAACAUACUAAAACAGUGAGCCAGAGAAAAAUUCGGGAGGAUAUUACCGAAAUCUGGGUAAUAUUCGGGUUUCA